CUCACACCUUGCAGGGGGUUCUACGUGUGUUUGGUUCCAUCUGGCAGGGGGUUCUACAUGUGUUUGGUUCCAUCUGGCAGGGGGUUCUACGUGUGUUUGGUUCCAUCUGGCAUGGGGUUCUACGUGUGUUUGGUUCUAUCUGGCAUGGGGUUCUACGUGUGUUUGGUUCCAUCUGGCAUGGGGUUCUACUUGUGUUUGGUUCCAUCUGUGAGGGGGUUGUAUAUCUUGUAUUUCCACAACGAGACGGUGGGGGUUAUCUGAGCCAUGGUUGAGAAGGAAUUGGGGGGGAAAGGAAAUUUGGCUUUGACUCGCUGAAGUACAUGAACUGCUACAUGCCGCCGGUUGCCGCGAGGCACCAUCGCCCGGCAGCGGGCAGCCGGCAGCGAGCGGUUCCACGUGCGUGUCCUGGGUUCUACGUGUGUUUGGUUCCAUCUGGCAGGGGGUUCUACAUGUGUUUGGUUCCAUCUGGCAGGGGGUUCAACGUGUGUGUCCCGGGUUCUACGUGUGUGUGUCCUGCUUGCUUUGACUGUGAUAAUGUUCAUACGGGGGUCUGUGUGGUUGGCUUGGGCUAUUGGAAAGGUCAACUAAAUCAUACCUGAUGGACGGCCACAUGUUUACCUGAGGCCUCCGGUAGACAUGAAGAGCCCGGAGCAACACUCCGAGCGAUAUCCAACACACUGGGAAGGAAGGAAGGAGAGUAUCCAAAUCAAGUGUCAAAGGAUGCAAGCGGCGUGUUCAGAUCAGUCACUUCAAACUAGGACUACACCAAUGAGCAUCAAUGGAGGAUGGACACCUAAAGGAUCAAUGGAGGAUGGACACCUAAAGGAUCAAUGGAGGAUGGACACCUAAAGGUUCAAUGGAGGAUGGACACCAAAAGGCUUUCCACAAGGAGAGUCUGCAGUUGGAAAGGGACCUCAAUGGAUUUUCAAGAUGUCCUUCACACCUGUAGUGAGGCGGAUCUUCCUACCUGGCUGGAUUGAUGGAGAGCCCUGUGGAUCUUGUCUUGCUCUCAGUUGCACGUCUUCUCAGGCUGAACAGUAUUUGUUUCAUACAGGACUAGCUGAACGAUUGGUUCCCUUAAAUCAGAACCAAUCUGGGAACUCCAACUAGUGCGCUCUUCAAACUGAAGUUGUGGUCUUCAGUUGAGGAGGUAAGGAAACCUUCACUGGGGCUUCAAGGUGUAAAGUGGAGAAUGUUUCAAAGUGUUACAUGGUACUCUGAUGAAGACUGUUGUUGUGUUCCACUGGCUGAGGGGAAGAACCCUCACAUCUUCCUCUUGGCCUUUCUCCUCUGAGAAUCCUGGCUCCAUCUUGAAGGAUAGUCCAGCUCAUGUAACUGAUGUCACGACAGAUUCUCAAACACUUGGUUUCUCCUGAGGUGCGUGUCUAUAGAACUGAAGACUUCAGACGGCACUGUAUCCCAGCAUGCAUCUCUGCUCACUCAGACCACACCCUCAUAAGUAGGAUGCAACACUCUAGCGAUGGAGAUGUAGAGUUUUAUAAGUAAUGAGGGAGCAGACAAAGGUGGUUAGAACACCAUGGCAUGUCAAGUCUAACUCUUUAAACCAUGAAGAUGGUUGGAUAGUUCAGGAAUUGGGCUUCAUUUUAUUAUGGGCAGUCCUUUAACUCAGAUGCCCACUUCUCACUGGAGCUGUACAUGUGUUGGCUGGCUGGCAUGAUUUGCUGUUGGUGAUGAGGCAGUCAGGGUGAAGUUGCAGGGCUAUGGUAAGCUCUCGGUGAGCUCAACGUUUAGAUAUGCUCUGUAUGGCUUGUACCCUGAAUAAUCUAGAUAAUUGUUCUGUUUAUUGUAAAAUGUAGACACGGUUUUGUAUUGAAUGAUUCCAUUGUUUUUAGGCAAGGAUUUGAGGUUUAAAGUCGUUGUGGGACGUGCAUUGUCGGUUCUUCAUACGAUUUUGAGUGGUAUAACUUGUACACACUGGGUGCAUAAUAAUGUAAAGGUACACUGAAUAGUAGUUAUGACCAACAGCAUCAAACGGAUCGCAUCAAGGUAAGUCUGUUGGCUGUGUUUUAAUGAAGACCAUCGCUGGACUUCAGGAUCAUCCUCCGUUCAGCUCAAGGUGAGGCGCUGGUUCUGUUUUUUCUUUGGUUGGUUCCGGCUGGAAUGUUCGGAUUCCAGUCGGACUGUUUGUGCUUCCCGCCGUGGAAGGUUCUGAGUGUGGUCACUUGAUUUAGUCUCGAUGGUUAGCAAUCGUUGUAGUUUUGACAACCAUAAGAACCCACCCGGCAGUUAGUUGGACGCGAGUCCCCUGAGGGAAUCUGGCGGAACGUUCUGGAUUGUAUUUGCGUAACAUAGAGCCGUUGCCAACGGAAACUAUUUUCGGUUUCCAUUGGGAAUUGUUCCCCCUUAUCUUAAACAACUUAAAUUUGAUAUUAAAUACAUACUGACACGUACAUCUUACAAUAUGUUGAUAAUAUCCGAUGGUUGCGCCGUACUUUUAACCACGUUGACGGGACUCUCGCUGCGUACAAAAGAGCGUUCUACUUGCGGGCCCAUUUCUGACCAUCAGUGAAGGCUGAAAAUAAUUUCAAGAAGGAAGACAAUUUGGCAUUUCUUCAAGGGAACCCAGCACCUGAAUAUGGCUGAGUAUAUUUGAUUUCAUAUCGAUAAUGCUUAGGGUUCUUUGGUACUUCAGCUUUUGUACGUUCUAAAUAUCUGGUGGCAUUAAUUGCCACAGAAGUUAAACCCUAUCAAAUGGAAAGACGUUAAACGACGACUUUGGUGCUGAGUUACCAACUGGAUAAUAUUAAAGCUAAAAUAAUGCCGUCUUUCCUACAUGUUACAGUAGAAGAAACUCGAGAACUGUACAAGGUUAAAAAGGUAACAUGUAGUUUGUCCCAAGGUGUCUGCCUCCUCACCCAGAGCCAGACCUCCACCUCCUCACCCAGAGCCAGACCUCCACCUCCUCACCCAGAGCCAGACCUCCACCUCCUCACCCAGAGCCAGACCUCCACCUCCUCACCCAGAGCCAGACCUCCACCUCCUCAACCAGCGCCAGACCUCCACCUCCUGUCAGAAGUCCUCCAGAACUGGUCAGUGCUCUGUCUGAAAGGCGAGGCGGAGAGGCUGGUAACCGGAGGCUUGUGGUGCCAGGAUGGACAGGAGACUGAGGCUGGAGACCAGGGGACCGCAGCACCGGACCAGGGGACCGGGAAUCCAUGGCUGAAGGAGCCGAUGGAGGAGCCGUGCUGAAGGCCCUGCCUGGUGGAGGAGCUGAUGGAGACCCUGCCUGGGGGAGGAGCUGAUGGAGGCCCUGCCUGGUGGAGGAGCUGAUGGAGGCCCUUCCUGAUGGAGGCCCUGCCUGGUGGAGGAGCUGAUGGAGGCCCUGCCUGGUGAAGGGGCUGGUGGAGGUCCUGCCUGGUGGAGGUCCUGCCUGGUGGAGGAUGUCUGUCGUGAGCAGGACUUUCGCUGUUUGUUCCAGACCAGGACUCGUCCGAGGGGAGUUGAUGGUUGAGCUGAGACGCUGGAGGACGACUAGGAAUCGACCAACAAGGAUUCCUCAUGAAACGUGUUUCUGGAGCGGAGGCGAGCUGGCAGGGGAGCCGUGAAUCUGGAGGAUGACCAUCACUCUACCAACAUGGAUUACCAGGCCUCUGAGGAGAGCUGAUGGAGGAGCCAAGACUCUGGAGGACGACAUCACUCUACCAACAAGGAUCCACCAGGAAUCUGGAGGACUGACGGAGAAGCUGUACAUCUGGAAGGCAAAUCCUGAGGACCACCAGGACUCUACCAUCAAGGAUUCCUCACACACCUGAGCUGAACCCCACCUGAUCUUGUUUGGUCGGGGGCAGACACACCUGAGCUGAACCUCCCCUGAUCCUGUUUGGUCGGGGACAGACACACCUGAGCUGAACCCCACCUGAUCCUGACACCCUGCUGGUCCCGUCUCCUCAGUUCUUCUGAGCCUCGUCCUCCAGAAGACCUGCUGAGCUCAGCGGUCUGAGGCUGAUGGAUCAAUGACCUCCAGUGGGAGUGAUCUUCUUGACCCCACAUGUACUUGUGUGCUUCCACACGCCUUUCCCUCACUACUUCCCUAACCUCACUACUUCCCCAACCUCACUACUUCCUUAACCUCACUACUUCACUAACCUCACUACUUCCCUAUCCUUCCUCUUCUUCUUCCUUCUCCGUGGUUCGAACCUGUGUCUUCCUGCCCUCAGAGGGUUCAGCGUUAGGGUUGAGAGUCAGGGUUUAGAGUCAGGGACAGAGCUGGUCAGGGAGGACUGGUUUUAAACAAACCUCUUCACUUGUUUUCUGAAUAGCGACUUUUUGAAAUGUUUCAUUUGGGAAAAUGUUUUCUUCUGCUUUCCUUUAGAAAAACAUGCAUAAAACUUCUGUCAAGUGUUUUUGUUCAUAUAUUAAAAUCCUACAUUGA
Gadus chalcogrammus (walleye pollock) is the source of this 4393-nucleotide long non-coding RNA. RefSeq lists it as uncharacterized. The record is from RefSeq and is a predicted model, not a curated record. The transcript is spliced from 8 exons. NCBI's taxonomy places the organism in Eukaryota, Metazoa, Chordata, Actinopteri, Gadiformes, Gadidae.